Molecule: microRNA precursor, 76 nt
Filed under: Nicotiana tabacum (common tobacco)
Lineage: Eukaryota; Viridiplantae; Streptophyta; Magnoliopsida; Solanales; Solanaceae
Description: miR6162 stem-loop (nta-MIR6162)
Source: miRBase by way of RNAcentral
GAUAAAUAUUAGAAAAAUGGUAGCCAUUGGAUUAAAGUUUUGAUCCAAGGGCUUCCAUUUUUCUGAUUUUUAAUAG